UUGGAUUGCAUCAUGUAUAUUGGAGGUUAAGUUUCCCCACAGAGGGUAUCAUGUCACUGAGCUACUAAUGCUAACGCUAGUCUACACAGCCAAGACUUGCGCCCUGCUCUGGGAAAGGACACACUUAUCCUAUGCUAGUUAAACCUGGUCUAAUAGCCGGCAACCCUUACAGCUACCGCUAAGCCAAAGGGCAUACUAACGGGCGUUAAUGCUAUACUGAUGCUAACCAACACGAGUGACUGGGACUUUCACACUCCAAUUACAAUAAUUACAUUCUGACAGGUUGGAUAAAACACGCAUGUAUCUAAUGGUACAUUGAUACUGUUCGCGAUAUUUCAGACAGUCAACGCUAGCAUCGCCCAGAAUGCUUCUCUUGAGGACGAGCUAGCGUCAUAACAGCAGAGGGAGUUACAAGUACACAGUCCUCCACCUGUCCUGGCCAUGAUCUCACCACAGAGGAAAACCCCUUACUGAACAGAAUGGACAGGACCGGACAGUAAAUCAGACUGGGAGACUUAAACAGCAUUAAGGAUCUACAAAACAAGAGACGCCAGCCGGAGGAACGGUUGGAAAUACCAUGGCCGGUACCGGGUCCCAGGGCAGCACCAUAAGGUCAGGGUGGAGGAGCCGAGCGCAGCCGGACACUACGCUCUGAUGCCGAACGCACCACUGCAGCAGUGCCAUGACGGAAUGGAUAAGGGAGGUCGGGAAAUGGUUAGCUCAUGCCACAUAACCUCACUGGGUCCGGCACAGAACGAAAAAGACGUGGCAAACAAUGGUAAUUGACAUGUGGACAUGGGAGAGGAG
This is a long non-coding RNA of Esox lucius (northern pike), 807 nucleotides long. RefSeq lists it as uncharacterized. Lineage: Eukaryota; Metazoa; Chordata; Actinopteri; Esociformes; Esocidae. The transcript has 4 exons. The record is from RefSeq and is a predicted model, not a curated record.